This 255-nucleotide ribosomal RNA is filed under the name uncultured bacterium. Its description in RNAcentral is "partial 16S ribosomal RNA". It matches the Rfam family "Bacterial small subunit ribosomal RNA", at positions 524 to 776 of the family's 1533-position model. The record is from RNAcentral.
UACGGUAGGGGGCAAGCGUUUGUCCGGAUUUAUUGGGCGUAAAGAGCGUGUAGGCGGCUAGAUAGGUCCGUUGUGAAAACUCGAGGCUCAACCUCGAGACGCCGAUGGAAACCAUCUGGCUAGAGUCCGGAAGAGGAGAGUGGAAUUCCUGGUGUAGCGGUGAAAUGCGCAGAUAUCAGGAAGAACACCCGUGGCUAAGGCGGCUCUCUAGUACGGUACUGACGCUGAGACGCGAAAGCAUGGGGAGCGAACAGG